RNAcentral lists this long non-coding RNA (3072 nucleotides) under Nicotiana benthamiana. RNAcentral describes it as "long non-coding RNA (NBEN_LNC015708)". The record is from RNAcentral. Lineage: Eukaryota; Viridiplantae; Streptophyta; Magnoliopsida; Solanales; Solanaceae.
CAGUGCCUAUCCUGUCCCUAUUAAAACUGAAAUAGAAAAUACAGGCGGAUAAUAAUACAAUAGUAUUAAGUUAGCAAAUAAGUCCAUGCUGCAUCCAUUCUUGGCUAAGAUGUCCGCUGCUCCAUUAGUUUCUCUGAAUACAUGCCUCAAAGGUGGCGUGCCAGCCUUAGAUAAUAGGGACAUGCAGUCAUUAAUAAUAUUUUGAUAAAGAUUAUUUUCAUUAUUUAUCAUGUUGAUUAGUUCCUGGCAAUGUGUUUCAAUGACUAGAGGAGUCAGUCUCAUUUGGAUGGCUAGUUUUAGACCUUGUACUAGGGAUAUGGCUUCUAUUUGAAUAUUUGUGGCGUGUGCAAAUCCCAUAUUGAAUCCUAGUAUCUAUUUUCCAUUGCUAUCCCUAAAAAUCCCGCCUAUCCUCCCCCCUGACUGGGUUACCUUGGCAUGAUCCAUCUAUAUUUACUUUUAAAAUCCCUAUGUCUGGGGUUGCUAUCUAAUAAGGAUCGUUCUUUUUGGUAUCCGUAUAGGACUCCAGUUGCUUAGAAAAAGGAAUUCUUGGGUGCUAUUGAUUACUUAUCUAAUGCUUCUAGUUGGAGUAAAGAGGGUCCCCUUAUCUAAUGCCUCUAGUUAGAGUAAAGAAAUUUGUAUUUGAGCCAUUUAUGAGUAUGGAGAUAGAUGUGAAGGAUACACACGAUAUUAUUAGAUCAAUUAAGUCAUCGGGGAAAUUUAGAGAUUUCAGGGAGAAUCUAAUGAAAGAUCACUCCAGCUUGUCAAAGGCCUUUUCCAGGUCAAUUUUGAUCAUGAUUUUUUCCUUUUUUUCCUUUUGAAUUUUUUAAAGAUUUUUGUGUUUCAUGCACUAUUAUGGCAUUAUCCGAGUCUCUUCUUCCUCUUAUAAAGCUCGUUUAAGUAGGAUGUAUAAUAUUGUUGAGCAAAGGUUUUAUUCCAUUAACUAUAAUUUUAGUGACGACCUUAUAGGCAGUGUUACACAGACUAAAGGGCCUAUAAUUGCUUUAAUGUUUCAGCAUCGUGAUAAAACAGACGAAGGUUCUAUUCAUGUCCUCAUUCAUUCUUUUACUUGUGAAGGAUUCUUUACAGAAGUUUACUAGCAGGUUGCUAGUUAUUCCCCAGAAUUAUUAGUAGAAGAAAGGGUGGAUGUCAUAUGGUUCAGGUGCCUUUAGUGGUUUAAAAGAGAAAAGGGUGGGAUGGUCGGUAAGGGUAAUUGAGGAUAGGGCAGGCAUGUAUAAUGGUGAUUUUUGGGAGGAAUUGUGAUUAGAAGUAUAUAAAUUUUUGUAGAAGUUCAUUUUAAUGUGGGUAAGUUCCUUCGGGUCAUGUAACUGAUUACCAGCUUCAUCUCUGAGGCUAAAUAUCCUAUUUUCCUUCUACUUUGUAGGGUUAUGAGAUGGAAAAACUUUGUAUUAGCGUCGCCUUCUUGAAUCCAUUAGAUUCUAGAUUUCAGUUUCCAGAAUUCCUCCUCCAAUUUGAGGAUUUUUUGUAGUUCAUCGAGUAGUUCAAUUUCUAGAUUAGACAAGAAGGUGUUGGUUGUGUAAUUUGGAGAUUUUUGAAUGCCUUCUAGUCUAUCUAGGAUUUUUGUUCUUUUAUUAAAAGAUAUUUCCAAAGGUAUCCUUGGUCUAGGCAAUGGCUUUAUUAGUGAAGUUGUUGAUAGCAUUUGAAAUAGUGACUUGGUUUGUCCAGCAUUCCAUUACUAGUCCCUUAAAUGUGGGAUGGGAUAGUCACAUAGAUUCUAGUCGAAAUAUAUUAUUACUGUGGAUGGGUUUUUUUAUAAGGUCCAGAUGUAUGAGGUAGUGUUCAGAGUGGGUUUUUAUAAGAUGUUUUACACUGGCUUCAGGAAACAUACUAAUCCACCGUUGGCUACGAAUCUGUCCAAUCUCUCCAUGAUGAAAGCAUUUUUUUUCUUUUUCCUCUUAUUUAAUCAAGUGAACUUUGGGCCUUUAAACCCUAGGUCUAUUAAUUAAAAGCAUCAAGAUAAUUAAUAAACUUUGUGAUUCUAUUGUUAUUAACAUGUAUACCUCUAAAUUUCUCACUUGAACUAGUGACCUCAUUAAAAUACCCUAAUACUAACCAGGAUCCUUUAUAAUUAUUUGCAGCUGUUAUUAAAUUAUUUCACGGAGUAAUUCUUUCCAUUAACAAAAUACUAGCAUAAAUAAUUGAGCAUAACCAAGUUUUAGGGUAGAAUUUUACCUUCACCAUGACAUGAAUUUCUUAUUCAGAUCCCUCUAUUUGGUCAACACUGACUUCAUCCCUGUUCCGUACUAGUGUCAUUCCUCCCGAGUUUCUUUGUGCCGCAACCUAAGCUAGACCUGAAAAGCCAAAGUCCUCCAUGAUGACAUAGCGUUCAGAUAAUUUCGUUUCGAGUAAUGCAACCACACUAGGUUUGUGGUAAUCAAGUAUGGAUCUAAAAGCUCUUCUGAAGUAUGCCUUUUCUGCUCCACGACAGUUCCAAGAUGUUGACGUCUUAAGAAUGCUCCUACUUGAUUAAAAGUAAAACGAUAAAGUAAAUAAACAAAAUAAACGUAACAGUAAUCUUCCUUCAUAUGCAGACAAUGACGAUAACCCGAUUUCCAUUCAAUUUCAACUAGUCAGAUUCUUUAUCUUCCCAACACCACCCAUGACCCAAAGGCAAUCUGAUUUCUUUUCUUAAGAACUUAUAUCUAUUUUAAACAUAUUCCAAAUUUGCUAUGACUAAACAACAUACAGAGUCAGGAAUGGAAAUCGAUUCAAUUUAUUUAAUCUAACUAAAUUAAUUAAAAAAAACAUAACUAUCACUGAAUUAAUCAAUGUUAACAGAUUCUAAAGCUCCAUUCACAGUAGGAAAGUGAAGAUAGAUAGGAUGAAGAAAAUGGACCUGAUGUGGCAAAACGUUUUUGAAAUAAUGAACAACAAACAACCGGCCAGAGCUACGGUUGGCGACCUCGACGGACUCGAAUGGGCUUUGACGGAAUUCGAACUCGACCGAGACACGGCUACAGCUGUUCAUUUCCCGGUGAGCUGGGCAUUCUCUGGUGGAUUCGCGUUGGCUACUGGUUCAGUAAUUGUGGAGUGACGGCUGCUGGAUUUUUUUAG